UACGUAGGGCGCAAGCGUUGUCCGGAAUUAUUGGGCGUAAAGAGCUCGUAGGCGGUUUGUCGCGUCUGUCGUGAAAGCCCACGGCUUAACCGUGGGUCUGCGGUGGAUACGGGCAGACUAGAGGCAGGUAGGGGAGAACGGAAUUCCCGGUGUAGCGGUGAAAUGCGCAGAUAUCGGGAGGAACACCGGUGGCGAAGGCGGUUCUCUGGGCCUGUACUGACGCUGAAGUGCGAAAGCCAGGGGAGCGAACGGG
RNAcentral lists this ribosomal RNA (253 nucleotides) under uncultured bacterium. RNAcentral's name for it is "partial 16S ribosomal RNA". It matches the Rfam family "Bacterial small subunit ribosomal RNA", at positions 524 to 776 of the family's 1533-position model. The record is from RNAcentral.